This 501-nucleotide ribosomal RNA is filed under the name uncultured bacterium. RNAcentral's name for it is "partial 16S ribosomal RNA". It matches the Rfam family "Bacterial small subunit ribosomal RNA", at positions 29 to 523 of the family's 1533-position model. The record is from RNAcentral.
AUUGAACGCUGGCGGCAUGCCUUACACAUGCAAGUCGAACGGCAGCACGGGUGCUUGCACCUGGUGGCGAGUGGCGAACGGGUGAGUAAUACAUCGGAACGUACCUUAUCGUGGGGGAUAACGCAGCGAAAGCUGUGCUAAUACCGCAUACGCCCUGAGGGGGAAAGCGGGGGAUCGCAAGACCUCGCGCGAUCAGAGCGGCCGAUGCCUGAUUAGCUUGUUGGUGGGGUAAAAGCCCACCAAGGCGACGAUCAGUAGCUGGUCUGAGAGGACGAUCAGCCACACUGGGACUGAGACACGGCCCAGACUCCUACGGGAGGCAGCAGUGGGGAAUUUUGGACAAUGGGGGCAACCCUGAUCCAGCAAUGCCGCGUGAGCGAAGAAGGCCUUCGGGUUGUAAAGCUCUUUUGUCAGGGAAGAAACACCGGCUCUAACACAGUCCGGGAAUGACGGUACCUGAAGAAUAAGCACCGGCUAACUACGUGCCAGCCGCCGCUGUAA